This 253-nucleotide ribosomal RNA is filed under the name uncultured bacterium. RNAcentral describes it as "partial 16S ribosomal RNA". It matches the Rfam family "Bacterial small subunit ribosomal RNA", at positions 524 to 776 of the family's 1533-position model. The record is from RNAcentral.
UACGGGGGGGGCAAGCGUUGUUCGGAAUUACUGGGCGUAAAGGGCUCGUAGGCGGCCAACUAAGUCGGAUGUGAAAUCCCCAGGCUUAACCUGGGAACUGCAUCCGAUACUGGAUGGCUUGAAUCCGGGGGAGGGAUGCGGAAUUCCAGGUGUAGCGGUGAAAUGCGUAGAUAUCUGGAGGAACACCGGUGGCGAAGGCGGCAUCCUGGACCGGCAUUGACGCUGAGGAGCGAAAGCCAGGGGAGCAAACGGG